GCCAAGUUGAAAAUUUUUAUAAUAGACUAAAGUUGUAAAUGAGUACGCACAAGACCUCACUUUGGACAAGCAUAUCUUCAUUUAUAUAAGAUGUUGUGUGAUGAACAAUCUAUCAAAUUAAAGCUCUUUAAGUCUAGUUUGCAAAUCAUCAAACCGUUCAUCAUUUGGAGGUGUAUACAGAAAGUUAUGACCAUUUUAUCAGACCUAUGUCAGAUGCGCGUCUGCGGCUCGGCCGGGGGAAAAUUGAGAGUUUCUUCCUCCCGAGCACGGUAUGAGCGCGGCCACCGUGUCCCGAGCACGGUUUGACCACGGUUAAGAGGCCUCCGAACUGGCGAGUGCUUAAAUCGAACCAUCUCGAUUUAGAGAGGUCGAUGGGAGAGCUUUAACUGAAGCUCCCGAACCAGAAGGAGGUGAGGCCAUGCCCCAAACUAGGGGGUCGAGAAGGAGACCGGAGAUGAGACUCCUCGAGCAGAGGAAAGUGCCUCGAAAGAUGCCCUUGGGGUGAUUGACCUCGCCGGGUCUCCUCAAUUUUCAGAUGCCAUGAUCCAUGAGGCCGGUAUGCUAGAAAGUCGUUCUUAUGAGGGGCCUCAGGGGCAACAGAUAUCUAUAACUUCUUAUAUGGGUUAGAGUCUACUACCCUAGAGGAUGUCACUAGGCUCGGAGACUUGCCGGUUCCAAAGAAGGUACCAUCAUCGUAAGUCAGUGGGUCUUCCUCGAGCCUAAAGUUAGUGGAUUGCUUCCCUACCCCGAAUGUUGACUCUGACCGAAAGCGGUCAAUAGUUUUCUCUAUCCCGGAGGAUGCUCAGGUUUUAUCUAUCCCCGUAGGGGUUACUAGCUAUCUUCGGUAUUUGGGGACCGAAGAAGAUCAGGCAGUGAUGGACAAGGUAGAAACCCCUGCCUAUUCGAUGAAGCUCAACAAGCGUUGAAUCGGGAUUUGGUGCUCCACCAUGAUACUUUCCUCCGAUACCGGGAGGCAUUAACCCAUCACGAGGCCGAGGUUCGGGAUCUCACUGAGAAGAGGGACACCUACAAGCUUCUUAGUGAAAAGCCUCAGGGCAAGUUAGAAGUGGCUUGGAGGGAACAUGCUAAGAUGGCCGAGCAGGUUCGACAGAUGCUUGAAGAGAUCGGGCAGCUCCAGGUACAGGUAGAUACGAUACAAGCCGAGGUUGAGGAGUUGAAGAAAAAUAUAUGCCUCUUAGCCUCGAAAAAGGAAGCUAUCCAAGCACAACUAGAUUCGGCUGAGGCCCAGCUCCGGGCUGCAAAAGAGAAGACCUUGGUGCAGGCCAAGAAAAUCGAGGAGCUCCAAUCUUAGUUGGACUUGGCUACUUCUGGUAAAGAGAAUCAGGCCAAGGAACUCGAGACGGCCAAAUCAGAGGUGGUUGUGGACAAGACCAAGGCUGAAGCUAAAGUGGCCCAGUACAAGGUUGAUGUCGAGGUGAUUUAGGUGCAGGCUAAAAGUAUGGUGGAUCAUGCAAGGUGGCAAGCUCGAAGGGAAGCCGUUGAGGGAAUCCAUGCUCAGAACUUCGAUAUACUGGCUGAAAUCGAGAAUGCCAAAGUAUAAGAAGCCAGGGCCCGGAAGCUGGCCUUUCCCGAGGAAGAUUCCGAGAGUUAAGCAUGUUUGAAGACGGGGAACAUCCCGUAGAUGAAGAUGCUGCCUCCGAUGGGGACCUGGACACUUAGGCCUUUAUAUGUUUUUAUUUUUUGCAUCUUUUUGAGGCUGUUUCGUCUAUUGUAGAUUUUUGUAUUGGGACAUUUUGGCCUUUGUAAAAAGAUAAUUGGGUAAAUAUAUAUACAAGGCUUUCUUUCCCCCUUCGA
Nicotiana tabacum (common tobacco) is the source of this 1815-nucleotide long non-coding RNA. RefSeq lists it as uncharacterized. NCBI's taxonomy places the organism in Eukaryota, Viridiplantae, Streptophyta, Magnoliopsida, Solanales, Solanaceae. The record is from RefSeq and is a predicted model, not a curated record.